UUAACUCAAAUUUGUAUGGAGUUGGAACGUUUGCCGCUAGAGGCGCUGUACCAACUCCAUACACAUUUGAAUUA
This 74-nucleotide microRNA precursor is filed under the name Bombyx mori (domestic silkworm). RNAcentral's name for it is "mir-2807 microRNA precursor family". It matches the Rfam family "mir-2807 microRNA precursor family". The record is from Rfam by way of RNAcentral. Lineage: Eukaryota; Metazoa; Arthropoda; Insecta; Lepidoptera; Bombycidae.